Molecule: ribosomal RNA, 468 nt
Filed under: uncultured bacterium
Lineage: Bacteria
Description: partial 16S ribosomal RNA
Rfam family: Bacterial small subunit ribosomal RNA
Source: RNAcentral
GACGAACGCUGGCGGCGUGCUUAACACAUGCAAGUCGAACGGAAAGGCCCUGCUUUUGUGGGGUGCUCGAGUGGCGAACGGGUGAGUAACACGUGAGUAACCUGCCCUUGACCUUGGGAUAACUUCAGGAAACUGGGGCUAAUACCGGAUAGGAGCUCCUGCUGCAUGGUGGGGGUUGGAAAGUUUCGGCGGUUGGGGAUGGACUCGCGGCUUAUCAGCUUGUUGGUGGGGUAGUGGCUUACCAAGGCUUUGACGGGUAGCCGGCCUGAGAGGGUGACCGGCCACAUUGGGAUUGAGAUACGGCCCAGACUCCUACGGGAGGCAGCAGUGGGGAAUAUUGCACAAUGGGCGGAAGCCUGAUGCAGCAACGCCGCGUGCGGGAUGACGGCCUUCGGGUUGUAAACCGCUUUCGCCUGUGACGAAGCGUGAGUGACGGUAAUGGGUAAAGAAGCACCGGCUAACUACGUG